CGUGCCUACGGGACGCAGCAGUGGGGGAUAUUGCACAAUGGGGGAAACCCUGAUGCAGCGACGCCGCGUGGGUGAAGAAGCGCCUCGGCGCGUAAAGCCCUGUCAGCAGGGAAGAAAAUGACGGUACUUGAAGAAGAAGCCCCGGCUAACUACGUGCCAGCAGCCGCGGUAAUACGUAGGGGGCAAGCGUUAUCCGGAUUUACUGGGUGUAAAGGGGGCGCAGACGGCGAUGCAAGCCAGGAGUGAAAGCCCGGGGCCCAACCCCGGGACUGCUCUUGGAACUGCUGGGCUAGGGUGCAGGAGGG
RNAcentral lists this ribosomal RNA (305 nucleotides) under uncultured bacterium. RNAcentral describes it as "bacterial SSU rRNA". It matches the Rfam family "Bacterial small subunit ribosomal RNA", at positions 335 to 656 of the family's 1533-position model. The record is from RNAcentral.